This 2020-nucleotide ribosomal RNA is filed under the name Salmonella enterica. RNAcentral's name for it is "partial 23S ribosomal RNA". It matches the Rfam family "Bacterial large subunit ribosomal RNA", at positions 1 to 2417 of the family's 2925-position model. Lineage: Bacteria; Pseudomonadati; Pseudomonadota; Gammaproteobacteria; Enterobacterales; Enterobacteriaceae. The record is from RNAcentral.
CUGGUGUUGAAGGCCCUGCAAAGCAGCAUCGCGGUGGCGGAGCGUCGUUUGCGACGCCCAACACACAAAACAAGCGGUGAAUGCUUUGGGGUGGGGUGACUGCGUACCUUUUGUAUAAUGGGUCAGCGACUUAUAUUCUGUAGCAAGGUUAACCGAAUAGGGGAGCCGGAGGGAAACCGAGUCUUAAUUGGGCGUUAAGUUGCAGGGUAUAGACCCGAAACCCGGUGAUCUAGCCAUGGGCAGGUUGAAGGUUGGGUAACACUAACUGGAGGACCGAACCGACUAAUGUUGAAAAAUUAGCGGAUGACCUGUGGCUGGGGGUGAAAGGCCAAUCAAACCGGGAGAUAGCUGGUUCUCCCCGAAAGCUAUUUAGGUAGCGCCUCGUGAAUUCAUCUCCGGGGGUAGAGCACUGUUUCGGCUAGGGGGCCAUCCCGGCUUACCAACCCGAUGCAAACUGCGAAUACCGGAGAAUGUUAUCACGGGAGACACACGGCGGGUGCUAACGUCCGUCGUGAAGAGGGAAACAACCCAGACCGCCAGCUAAGGUCCCAAAGUCAUGGUUAAGUGGGAAACGAUGUGGGAAGGCCCAGACAGCCAGGAUGUUGGCUUAGAAGCAGCCAUCAUUUAAAGAAAGCGUAAUAGCUCACUGGUCGAGUCGGCCUGCGCGGAAGAUGUAACGGGGCUAAACCAUGCACCGAAGCUGCGGCAGCGAACGUAUCACCCAAGACAACUUUACGGAGUUGACGAUUGACGGAGCGAAGCGACGUCAAAGCGUUCAUUAAAGUCGAGUUGGCUUAGGGAUACGUUCGUUGGGUAGGGGAGCGUUCUGUAAGCCUGUGAAGGUGUGUCGUGAGGCAUGCUGGAGGUAUCAGAAGUGCGAAUGCUGACAUAAGUAACGAUAAAGCGGGUGAAAAGCCCGCUCGCCGGAAGACCAAGGGUUCCUGUCCAACGUUAAUCGGGGCAGGGUGAGUCGACCCCUAAGGCGAGGCCGAAAGGCGUAGUCGAUGGGAAACGGGUUAAUAUUCCCGUACUUGGUGUUACUGCGAAGGGGGGACGGAGAAGGCUAUGUUGGCCGGGCGACGGUUGUCCCGGUUUAAGCGUGUAGGUGUGUGUUCCAGGUAAAUCCGGUUCACUUUAACACUGAGGCGUGAUGACGAGGCACUACGGUGCUGAAGCAACAAAUGCCCUGCUUCCAGGAAAAGCCUCUAAGCAUCAGGUAACAUCAAAUCGUACCCCAAACCGACACAGGUGGUCAGGUAGAGAAUACCAAGGCGCUUGAGAGAACUCGGGUGAAGGAACUAGGCAAAAUGGUGCCGUAACUUCGGGAGAAGGCACGCUGACACGUAGGUGAAGUGAUUUACUCACGGAGCUGAAGUCAGUCGAAGAUACCAGCUGGCUGCAACUGUUUAUUAAAAACACAGCACUGUGCAAACACGAAAGUGGACGUAUACGGUGUGACGCCUGCCCGGUGCCGGAAGGUUAAUUGAUGGGGUCAGCGCAAGCGAAGCUCCUGAUCGAAGCCCCGGUAAACGGCGGCCGUAACUAUAACGGUCCUAAGGUAGCGAAAUUCCUUGUCGGGUAAGUUCCGACCUGCACGAAUGGCGUAAUGAUGGCCAGGCUGUCUCCACCCGAGACUCAGUGAAAUUGAACUCGCUGUGAAGAUGCAGUGUACCCGCGGCAAGACGGAAAGACCCCGUGAACCUUUACUAUAGCUUGACACUGAACAUUGAGCCUUGAUGUGUAGGAUAGGUGGGAGGCUUUGAAGUGUGGACGCCAGUCUGCAUGGAGCCGACCUUGAAAUACCACCCUUUAAUGUUUGAUGUUCUAACGUGGACCCGUAAUCCGGGUUGCGGACAGUGUCUGGUGGGUAGUUUGACUGGGGCGGUCUCCUCCUAAAGAGUAACGGAGGAGCACGAAGGUUGGCUAAUCCUGGUCGGACAUCAGGAGGUUAGUGCAAUGGCAUAAGCCAGCUUGACUGCGAGCGUGACGGCGCGAGCAGGUGCGAAAGCAGGUCAUAGUG